Non-coding RNA from Salmo salar (Atlantic salmon), 58 nucleotides. The record is from Rfam. NCBI's taxonomy places the organism in Eukaryota, Metazoa, Chordata, Actinopteri, Salmoniformes, Salmonidae.
UAGCUCAGUUGGUAGAGCAUGGUGUUUGCAACGCCAGGGUUGUGGGUUCCAUUCCCAC